GAUGAAGAACGCAGCGAAAUGCGAUAAGUAAUGUGAAUUGCAGAUUUCAGUGAAUCAUCGAAUCUUUGAACGCACAUUGCGCCCCCUGGUAUUCCGGGGGGCAUGCCUGUCCGAGCGUCAUUACAACCCUCAAGCUCAGCUUGGUGUUGGGCCCCGCCGCCCCGGCGGGCCCUAAAGUCAGUGGCGGUGCCGUCCGGCUCCGAGCGUAGUAAUUCUUCUCGCUCUGGAGGUCCGGUCGUGUGCUCGCCAGCAACCCCCAAUUUUUUUCAGGUUGACCUCGGAUCAGGUAGGGAUACCCGCUGAACUUAAGCAUAUCAAUAAGCGGAGGA
This 329-nucleotide unclassified non-coding RNA is filed under the name soil metagenome. Its description in RNAcentral is "partial contains 5.8S ribosomal RNA, internal transcribed spacer 2, and large subunit ribosomal RNA". The stretch from base 1 to 120 matches the Rfam family "5.8S ribosomal RNA", at positions 35 to 154 of the family's 154-position model. The record is from RNAcentral.